GGACGGGUGCGUACACGUAGGAAUUUACCUUUAGUGAAGAAAUACUUCGAGAAAUCGAAGUUAAUGCUGCAUAAGUCCCUUCGGGGAGAAAGACGGGCUCUUGCUGUCGCUAAAGGAUUAAGCUGCGGUCUAUUAGCUUGUUGGUAGGGUAAAAGCCUACCAAGGCAAUGAUGGAUAGCCGACCUGAGAGGGUGAUCGGCCACACUGGAACUGAGAUACGGUCCAGACUCCUACGGGAGGCAGCAGUGGGGAAUAUUGCACAAUGGGCGAAAGCCUGAUGCAGCGACGCCGCGUGGAGGAUGAAUGUCUUCGGAUUGUAAACUCCUGUUAAGAGGGAAGAAAUCUCUAUGGGUAAUAUACAUAGAGGAUGACGGUACCUCUGGAGAAAGCUCCGGCUAACUUCGUGCCAGCAGCCGCGGUAAUACGAAGGGAGCUAGCGUUAUUCGGAAUUACUGGGCGUAAAGAGCGUGUAGGCGGCUUGUUAAGUCGGCUGUUAAAUCUCCCAGCUUAACUGGGAAUCGGCAGUUGAUACUGGCUCGCUAGAGGGCAGAAGAGAGAAGUGGAAUUCUCGGAGUAGCGGUAAAAUGCGUAGAUCUCGAGAGGAACACCAGUUGCGAAGGCGGCUUCUUGGUCUGCUUCUGACGCUAAAGCGCGAAAGCGUGGGUAGCAAACAGGAUUAGAUACCCUGGUAGUCCACGCCGUAAACGAUGAUCACUAGAUGUGGGUUCUGCUUAGCAGGAUCUGUGUCGUAGCUAACGCGUUAAGUGAUCCGCCUGGGGAGUACGGUCGCAAGAUUAAAACUCAAAGGAAUUGACGGGGGUCCGCACAAGCGGUGGAACAUGUGGUUUAAUUCGACACUACGCGAGGAACCUUACCUAGAUUUGACAUGUAAUUGACCGCCAUAGAAAUAUGGUUUUUCAAGUUUUCUUGAACAGUUACACAGGUGCUGCAUGGCUGUCGUCAGCUCGUGUCGUGAGAUGUUGGGUUAAGUCCUUUAACGAGCGCAACCCUUGCUGUCAGUUGCUACCCUUUUUAGGGGCACUCUGACGGGACUGCCUGGGAAACCAGGAGGAAGGUGGGGAUGACGUCAAGUCCUCAUGGCCUUUAUGUCUAGGGCUACACACGUGUUACAAUGGCUAGUACAAAAGGGCGCGAAGCCGCGAGGUGGAGCAAAACCUAUAAAGCUAGUCUAAGUUCGGAUUGGAGUCUGAAAUUCGACUCCAUGAAGCUGAAAUCGCUAGUAAUCGCAUAUCAGAACGAUGCGGUGAUACGUUCUCGGACCUUGUACACACCGCCCGUCACACCACGAAAAUCAUCUAUACCCAAAAUCUCCUUAGCUAACC
This 1343-nucleotide ribosomal RNA is filed under the name uncultured organism. RNAcentral's name for it is "bacterial SSU rRNA". It matches the Rfam family "Bacterial small subunit ribosomal RNA", at positions 100 to 1440 of the family's 1533-position model. The record is from RNAcentral.